ACGCAAUUAAGGUUUCAACUUGACGAACUAGUAAAAAAAUAUCAACCCAGCUUCCAUUCAGUUUGGAGGGAAAUUUCAAGAUGCAUGCAAGAACGAGCAAACGACUCUCAAAAUUUAGAGAGAGGAGUUCGACCUGGGCGGAGGCCACGAGGAGAAAUCGCAACGUCUCCCAUGUGGUCAACGAUGCGCAUAUCAUGGUGGAAAAACUGAAGGCCCUAGGGAUGAGACCCCUACUUCUCACCGGGGCCUAUUCGAAUACUAGCCAGGUCUGGGGGACAGAAUGCGUGUUCCCCUAUGACCUCCCAGACCUGGCUAAGAACAUCAUUAAACAGAUUCAGUUUCUGUAUAGAAACCUGU
Long non-coding RNA from Alosa sapidissima (American shad), 357 nucleotides. RefSeq lists it as uncharacterized. The record is from RefSeq and is a predicted model, not a curated record. Lineage: Eukaryota; Metazoa; Chordata; Actinopteri; Clupeiformes; Clupeidae. The transcript is spliced from 3 exons.